This 315-nucleotide long non-coding RNA is filed under the name Chrysolophus pictus (golden pheasant). Its description in RNAcentral is "lncRNA (ENSCPIG00010001604.1)". The record is from RNAcentral. Lineage: Eukaryota; Metazoa; Chordata; Aves; Galliformes; Phasianidae.
AUUACGUCAGCACAGUGGAUUUAAUCUAUUUGUCAUUUGUUGAUGCUCAAGAGUUACAGAGGAGGAUGAGACUGGAGAUGCCACAAAAACCAGCUAUUGUGAGAGCUUCACAACUCUUUUAGGACAGGCACACAAAGAUGUUCACUCCUAGCUGUGCCUGCGCUGUUAAGAAGUGCUGUCAGGACAGUGAACACCCCUGAGGAGGAGAGAGACCUGGAGGUCUGAGGAGGCGGAAAGUGGAGAGGUGAAACACCACCAAAGGCAGGCUGGUAGAAGUGAUUGCUAGCUUUCUAUCAUGCAGGCUGUGCACGCAUG